RNAcentral lists this ribosomal RNA (254 nucleotides) under uncultured bacterium. RNAcentral's name for it is "partial 16S ribosomal RNA". It matches the Rfam family "Bacterial small subunit ribosomal RNA", at positions 524 to 776 of the family's 1533-position model. The record is from RNAcentral.
UACGUAGGGUGCGAGCGUUGUCCGGAAUUAUUGGGCGUAAAGAGCUCGUAGGCGGUGUGUCACGUCGGCCGUGAAACCCUGCAGCUUAACUGUGGGCGUGCGGUCGAUACGGGCAUCACUGGAGUUCGGCAGGGGAGACUGGAAUUCCUGGUGUAGCGGUGAAAUGCGCAGAUAUCAGGAGGAACACCGGUGGCGAAGGCGGGUCUCUGGGCCGAUACUGACGCUGAGGAGCGAAAGCGUGGGGAGCAAACAGG